AGGAAUAUUGCACAAUGGGCGAAAGCCUGAUGCAGCAACGCCGCGUGAGUGAUGAAGGCCUUCGGGUUGUAAAGCUCUGUCUUCUGGGACGAUAAUGACGGUACCAGAGGAGGAAGCCACGGCUAACUACGUGCCAGCAGCCGCGGUAAUACGUAGGUGGCAAGCGUUGUCCGGAUUUACUGGGCGUAAAGGAUGCGUAGGCGGAUACUUAAGUCAGAUGUGAAAAUCCCGGGCUUAACUUGGGAACUGCAUUUGAAACUGGGUAUCUAGAGUGCGGGAGAGGAAAGUGGAAUUCCUAGUGUAGCGGUGAAAUGCGUAGAGAUUAGGAAGAACACCAGUGGCGAAGGCGACUUUCUGGACCGUAACUGACGCUGAGGCAUGAAAGCGUGGGGAGCAAACA
RNAcentral lists this ribosomal RNA (400 nucleotides) under uncultured bacterium. RNAcentral describes it as "bacterial SSU rRNA". It matches the Rfam family "Bacterial small subunit ribosomal RNA", at positions 357 to 774 of the family's 1533-position model. The record is from RNAcentral.